Long non-coding RNA from Rhineura floridana, 3632 nucleotides. RefSeq lists it as uncharacterized. NCBI's taxonomy places the organism in Eukaryota, Metazoa, Chordata, Lepidosauria, Squamata, Rhineuridae. The transcript is spliced from 5 exons. The record is from RefSeq and is a predicted model, not a curated record.
ACCAAAACUGACAUACUCUCCAUCCCUAGUAGUGUCAGCUCUGCACUGAGACAGCAGUGCCGGUGGGGGCUGGAAAUUCCUGGGUAGUUAUCAGGGCGGGAAAGGCCUUAGCUGGCAGUCUGGUCGUAAAUCUGCCAGGCUAACGAGGAUGAAGCAUGAUAAGGGCAAGGCCCUUCCUAAGCUUACGUGCCAAGCCAGAAGUCCAGAAGCGAGGUCAGUAGAGGUCCAGGUUCAAUUGCCAAGGGGUCAGUCCAAGAUAAGAUUCAGGGAAACUAGAAACACACGAAGCCACACCUGACAUUGUAGUCAGCAACAAGCUGAAGCCAAGGUUUGACUUUUAAGGAGCAGGUUUGUCAGCAGGUGUGAGCCCUCAGCGUUUUGGCCUUAAGUGGACAGGCCUGCCCCUCUUCUGCCUGACCUUCUGCUGUCUACAUUCUGCAGUGGACAACCAGAUUCCUAGGGGCAGCCCGCCAGCAGGACCUGAGUGCAAUAGCCCUCUCUCCACUUGUGACUCCUAGCAACUGAUAUACAGAGAUGCAAAGAAAUGGAAAAAGAAGCUUCAUUUCUCAGUGCCAGUGCAGCUCACUCCUCCUAAUAGCAAACUCAGGUGGUGAGUGCCAACAAGCCACUGAAUCAAGCCACUGAAAAACAGCACAGAGUGGCCACCAUACCAGCCAGUGGAGGACCAAGAGAAUCCUUCCCCUUCCUUGUGAAGUCCUACAGCAGCACCGCAAAUAUAGAAUCACGUCUUUUACUUGUACGACAGGAAAAGGCAUAAGUUGGUGGACCUUGGGUUGAAGUAAAAGAAGAUAAGAAAGUUCUGCAAGCCUGCAACCUGUCAAGCCCUGUUGUACAGGCAGGCUAACAGCUCUGAGAAAUAAACCUGCUGGUGUUGUUCGUAAGAGAACUCACUGGUGGAAGCAGUGGGCAGGAAGCCAGCUAAUGGAAGCCACGCCGGAUUUUGGAGAGCAACACUCAAAAGUCACAAACAUAUCAGAGCUUGCAAAUUUAUCCUCCUGUCCCUUUUGUGCUUGUUUUCUAUGAACACUGGAGUGAUUGAGCUUUAUUAGCACCAGUUUUGAUGGAAAAUGAAUUUCAAAGCUGUAUGAAUGAGUAUCCAUGGAAACGGAAUGUUAAGUGUACACACGCAGGUAUUUGUAUCAAAAGUGCUCACCUGCCCAUCCAAUCAUCUAGUGGUGACAAUGGGCACAUCACGGCUAGCCAAUCACUGCCUGAGAGCCCAGCUUGAAUGACAAACAGCACAUACACACAUAGUAAACAUUGCUGCAUACAAGUGGGGGAAAGAACACACACACACUUAAUGUGAAAUUGGCAUCUGUUGUUGAAGGCUCACAAACAGCUAAAGAAACAUAUCAGAUUCAUUGUGAAUGAUUACAUUAUUCAUUGGGAAUUAUUCACUCAGCUCUAAUGUAGAGUUUUUAAAUCAGGGAUUUCAGGCUGUUCUCAUUGCCCAAACAUUUAUUUCCCUGCCUUUGUGGGGGGAAGCAGAAAAGGGGAUGUGGUGGCCUACCAGAAAGAGGAGAGACUGAGCUGUUUAAUUCUUUGUGUCAUAGCUACACUAGCAAAAUGUCUGCUGUUACGACAGCUGGGACGUGUGCAGUGGACAAAGGAUUUCUAUACUGCAGGUUCCCAGUGGGGAUCCAGUUGGUUGUUACUAUUUAGGGUGGCGACUACAGAUGGGGGAGAAAUUUGAUUCAGACUGAUUUUAAAGCCGAAUUAUCAAAUUUCCACUUUCUGAAACAAUAGAACCAGAACACAGCCAACCUUUCAUAUUCACACGUUUCCAAAUUUUGUGAUGCAGUUCUCCAACCAAACAAUGUUUACAAAAAAAUAUAUUAGAGGAAAGUGUACAUAAAAAGGAAUAUAUUUGCAUUAUAGCAGAAAAAAAUUGCUUUGCAAAAAUGUGUGCGUUAGUGAAAACUGGACACAAAAAUCUGUUAAUUAGGAGAAAUGUGCACUAAAAUGCUGAAGCAUUUUCAUGAGGAUAUUUUAAAAACAGAUUUUGCAGAUUGCUGCAGAAAUGUGGAGAGCUGAAUUUAAGAUUGGAGAAUGAGAAACCGAGAGAACCAAAAAUGAUAAGGUCUUUCCAUUGCUAAUGCUGAUUUGCACAUUGCCAAAAAGAAGAAAUGCAUUACCAAAAACAAGGACAAAACAGGGCACAGAUUUGCGUGAAAUUUGCAGAUAUCGUGCAAUUCUUAGAAAUUAGUAAUUACUUAGAAAUAAUGACUAAAAUCUAAAUACUGUACAUCACACCUGAAUAGGGAAGACUGUGACCUGUGUGACUUCUCAGUCUGCUGCCAAGAUGUGAACGAUGGAUGGGCAAACCUCAAGGUCCCCCUCCACUUCCUUCUUAGGAUCUUUAAACUGGACUUGGACUGGACAGUUCUUCAAAGAGAGGACUGACCUCUGUGAUGUAAGGCACAUGGCCAUCCUACCCAUUUCUCUGAGCAGUGAGAGCUUUGACAGGUGCAGUGCUUACUCAACUUGGUUUGUCCUCCGACAGUCCUUCAUUCAGAGGACUGGCUUCUGUAAUGUAGGAUCCAUGGUGGCCAAAUUAUUAAUAAUAAUUGGAAAACAGCUGACUGUUUUAACCCUUGCUCGCUGGUUCCAGAAAUUAUGGCAAGUAGUGAUUGGUAAAAAAUUUGAAACACAUGAUUCGCUCAGCCAAGGGUGUGGUGGGUAGUUUAGGUAUCUACUCUGUAUGGCAUGAUUUCAUAACCUAGUGAUUCCCAAAAAAAUCUUUCCCAUGGACCACUUGAAAAUUGCUCGGUGCUCUUGGCAGGCCAUUUAAAUAUUUUUUCCCCUGCCUGUUGUAACGCUCUGUGCUAGGUGCUGUAUGAUUUUUAAUUGCAUUUUUAUUGCUUCUUUUACUUCUUAUACUGUACUUUUUGUACUGCCGUUUGCAUUCCCUAGAUUUCAAAAUGUCAUACAAUAAAAUACAAUAUGUGAAACAAUAAAUAUGCAGCUAAAAUCAGUAUGAAUACUUAAUAUGGACAUGCCGCAGACCACCCGAACGAAGCUUGUACACACGGGUGGUCCAUGGGCCACAGUUUGGAAACCACUGACCUAGACAAAUGGAAAGAAGGACACCUUUCUAUCCCCUUUCUGUGGAAGAAAGACUAAAUUAUGAAUAGUCUCUUGGUCAUCAGUCUAGAAGACUAUCUGCACUGCAGACAUUAACCAUACAGAUGCGAAGCUUGGUACUGAGAAGGGAAAACCAAUCUGAACACUGAACUUAAGGCUACUGCUAGGCAUGACUGUGUCAGCCUGUAUAGUAGUGGUUCCCAAACUUUUUUCUGCACAGACCACUUGAAAAUUGCAGAAAAUUACCACUAAAUGAUUUUUCUGGCCUGUUGUAACUCCACAGAAUUCAAAUUGUAAUACAAUACAAUACAACAUAAGAAAUAAAAGAAGCAAUGAAGAUACAAUUAAAAAUCAAUAUGAAUAUUCCAUGCGAUGAACGCGACAUCUCCCAGAUUCAACCCACAAAUCGACAAACAUGCCGCAGACCACCUGAAUGAAGCUCGCAGUCCGCUGGUGGUCCACGGAUCACAGUUUGGGAACCCCUCCUCUCGAGUCUAAGCAAUAAAUUUUUCUCUGUUGCUAUUUAA